This 253-nucleotide ribosomal RNA is filed under the name uncultured bacterium. RNAcentral describes it as "partial 16S ribosomal RNA". It matches the Rfam family "Bacterial small subunit ribosomal RNA", at positions 524 to 776 of the family's 1533-position model. The record is from RNAcentral.
UACGUAGGGGGCUAGCGUUGUCCGGAAUCAUUGGGCGUAAAGAGCGUGUAGGCGGCUUGGUAAGUCCGCUGUGAAAGUCCAGGGCUCAACCCUGGAAAGCCAGUGGAAACUGUCAAGCUAGAGUCCGGAAGAGGCGAGUGGAACUCCUGGUGUAGCGGUGAAAUGCGCAGAUAUCGGGAAGAACACCCGUGGCGAAGGCGGCUCUCUGGGACGGUACUGACGCUGAGACGCGAAAGCGUGGGGAGCGAACAGG